GGGGGGGGCUGGCGGCCAUUUUGUCGGUUGCUGAGGUGCUGGGGAUGGGCACAUCCCUUUCACCACAGAGAGCAUCUUGCAGCUUCUCACCACCCAAAUCCUGCCGGUUGUGCCCAAUAUUGGGAAAAAACAGUUAGAGAAUGCAUCUGUGAAGAUACCACUGCAAGAGGUUUUUUUUUUUUUUUUAGAUUAAUAAAGAUGCAUGAAGAGGAGGUCAUGUGGUUAAACCGGCUUAAUACCGAGGCUACAACUGUCAUGAAGUCCCAGCUAUAUGAAGGGAGACUGGAAGUUCAAAUGGUGUUAGUGCAUACUUCUCUUCUUGGUUUCCAGUUUCAAGUUCAAAGUGACUACUUAAAGUGGUGGAGAGGUUGA
Molecule: long non-coding RNA, 372 nt
Filed under: Anas platyrhynchos platyrhynchos (common mallard)
Lineage: Eukaryota; Metazoa; Chordata; Aves; Anseriformes; Anatidae
Description: lncRNA (ENSAPLG00000023860.1)
Source: RNAcentral